This 440-nucleotide ribosomal RNA is filed under the name uncultured bacterium. RNAcentral's name for it is "partial 16S ribosomal RNA". It matches the Rfam family "Bacterial small subunit ribosomal RNA", at positions 338 to 795 of the family's 1533-position model. The record is from RNAcentral.
CCUACGGGUGGCAGCAGUGGGGGAUAUUGGACAAUGGGGGAAACCCUGAUGCAGCGACGCCGCGUGUGGGAAGACGGUCCUCUGGAUUGUAAACCACUGUCGCCAGGGACGAAAAUGACGGUACCUGGGGAGGAGGCUCCGGCUAACUACGUGCCAGCAGCGGCGGUAAUACGCAGGGAGCGAGCGUUGUACGGAAUUACUGGGUGUAAAGGGAGCGUAGGCGGGACUGCAAGUUGGGUGUCAAAUCGAGCGGCUCAACCGGUAGCCGCACUCAAAACUGCAGGUCUUGAGUGAAGGAGAGGCAGGCGGAAUGCCUAGUGUAGCGGUGAAAUGCGUAGAUAUUAGGAGGAACACCAGUGGCGAAGGCGGCCUGCUGGGCUUUUACUGACGCUGAGGCUCGAAAGUGUGGGUAGCAAACAGGAUUAGAUACCCUUGUAGUC